RNAcentral lists this ribosomal RNA (301 nucleotides) under uncultured bacterium. RNAcentral describes it as "partial 16S ribosomal RNA". It matches the Rfam family "Bacterial small subunit ribosomal RNA", at positions 509 to 807 of the family's 1533-position model. The record is from RNAcentral.
CAGCAGCCGCGGUAAUACAGAGGGUGCAAGCGUUAAUCGGAAUUACUGGGCGUAAAGCGCGCGUAGGUGGUUUGUUAAGUUGGAUGUGAAAUCCCCGGGCUCAACCUGGGAACUGCAUCCAAAACUGGCAGGCUAGAGUAGGGCAGAGGGUGGUGGAAUUUCCUGUGUAGCGGUGAAAUGCGUAGAUAUAGGAAGGAACACCAGUGGCGAAGGCGACCACCUGGGCUCAUACUGACACUGAGUUGCGAAAGCGUGGGGAGCAAACAGGAUUAGAUACCCCCGUAGUCCCUGUCUCUUAUAC